Molecule: ribosomal RNA, 251 nt
Filed under: uncultured bacterium
Lineage: Bacteria
Description: partial 16S ribosomal RNA
Rfam family: Bacterial small subunit ribosomal RNA
Source: RNAcentral
GACGGGGGGGGCAAGUGUUCUUCGGAAUGACUGGGCGUAAAGGGCACGUAGGCGGUGAAUCAGGUUGAAAGCGAAAGUCGCCAAAAAGUGGCGGAAUGCUCUCGAAACCAAUUCACUUGAGUGAGACAGAGGAGAGUGGAAUUUCGUGUGUAGGGGUGAAAUCCGUAAAUAUACGAAGGAACGCCAAAAGCGAAGGCAGCUCUCUGGGUCCCUACCGACGCUGGGGUGCGAAAGCAUGGGGAGCGAACAGG